Molecule: ribosomal RNA, 449 nt
Filed under: uncultured bacterium
Lineage: Bacteria
Description: SSU rRNA
Rfam family: Bacterial small subunit ribosomal RNA
Source: RNAcentral
AGAGCGAACGCUGGCGGCAGGCCUAACACAUGCAAGUCGAGCGGCCGUAGCAAUACGGCAGCGGCAGACGGGAGAGUAACACGUGGGAACGCGCCCUUCGGUUCGGAAUAACUCAGGGAAACUUGGGCUAAUACCGGAUACGCCCUUACGGGGAAAGAUUUAUUGCCGAAGGAACGGCCCGCGUCCGAUUAGCUUGUUGGUGAGGUAACGGCUCACCAAGGCGACGAUCGGUAGCUGGUCUGAGAGGAUGACCAGCCUCACUGGGACUGAGACACGGCCCAGACUCCUACGGGAGGCAGCAGUGGGGAAUAUUGGACAAUGGGCGCAAGCCUGAUCCAGCCAUGCCGCGUGGGUGAUGAAGGCCCUAGGGUUGUAAAGCCCUUUCGGCGGGGUAAGAUAAUGACGGUACCCGCAGAAGAAGCCCCGGCUAACUUCGUGCCAGCAGCCGC